CCCUGUGCUUGGGUCAUUACCAUCCUCAGCUGACCCAGAGACAUUCAGGGCCUCCAGGCCUUCACAGAUGUGCUGGAGACUGACCACCACAGAGUUCAUCUUCUCCUGGAACUCGCGGAUGACGUUCUUCACAUUGUAGCGGUCGGUGGACUGGUUGACCAUGUUGGUGAUG
This is a long non-coding RNA of Alosa sapidissima (American shad), 172 nucleotides long. RefSeq lists it as uncharacterized. NCBI's taxonomy places the organism in Eukaryota, Metazoa, Chordata, Actinopteri, Clupeiformes, Clupeidae. The record is from RefSeq and is a predicted model, not a curated record. The transcript has 3 exons.